RNAcentral lists this long non-coding RNA (21036 nucleotides) under Amborella trichopoda. RNAcentral's name for it is "long non-coding RNA (ATRI_LNC003662)". Lineage: Eukaryota; Viridiplantae; Streptophyta; Magnoliopsida; Amborellales; Amborellaceae. The record is from RNAcentral.
AAAGAGGUCCUUUAUAUGCCUUCAUAAAUAGGUCCUUUACGUGCCCGUAAAAUUACAUGAAUAUUGAAUAAUCACAUAACCCCCAAAGUCAACUAUAAAAAGGUGUAUUUACAUAUCUCCAAAAUUCAAAAAAUUAAUCAAGUCCUUUACAUGUCUCAUAAAUAGGUCUUUUACAUGCCCACAAAUCCCAUGAAAGUUUUCUCCUUUUAGUCCUUGGUUUUCCUCUAGGAAACUGCUCUUAUUGGUUUGUCAUAUCUGUAACAUAUGAACAACAUCAAUACACCAACACAAGAGGUCCUCAAAACCAAGUCAUUUAUUUACCAAAGAGGUCCUCAAAAUACUCACUGACCUCUCAGAUAACACUUGCAACAAGUGCCAAGUGUUGGCAUCACUAACACUUGUGAUAACAUUUGUAUUAAUGCACAACUUAAGCUUUUGUGUAAAGCAUCACUAUAAAUCACAAAUCCUCCAUUUCUCGUAGGAAUAGUUAAAAUAGGUGUUGAAGUCAAUCGAGCUUUUAAUUGUUGAAAACUUUCCUCAUAUUCCUUUGUUCAUUCAAAUUUGACAUUUUUCUGUAUCAAUUGAGUUAAUGGAGCCACAAUUCAAAAGAAUCCUUCUACAAAUCUUUUGUAAUAUUAUGUCAGUCUAAAAAAGCUUCGGAUUUCAGUAACAUUACUUGGUUGCUUCCAAUUAAUCACAGUUUCAACCUUUGAAAGAUCAACAGAUAAACCUUCUUUUGAUAUCACAUGAUCUAAAAAUGUCACUUGUUCUAACUAAAAUCCACAUUUACUUAGUUUGGGAUACAACUCAUUUUCUCUUAGUAUUUGUAAUACCAUCUUCACAUGUUUCUCAUGCUCUUCCCGAUUAUUGGAAUAAAUUAGAAUAUCAUCAAUGAAUACUAUUUGGAUUUAUAAAAAUAGAUAUAUUGAUUUUAGAUUGACUUAAAUAUUCAAAUUUGACUUUAUAGAUUUUUAAAAAUCAAAUAUUAAUUUUAAUAAUUUUAAUAUUGCAUGGGAGACCCUAUAUGUUAAUGGGUCCACCAUUGCAUGUGGGGGGCCUAUGAAGUACCACUUAGGGUGGCACACCCCACCCUAAUGAUACUUGCCAUGUGUUAGUUCAAGCUUUGCCCCUCCUUGAUUUCAUUGCUUCGAAUAAGCAGAUUGACAAUUCUCAAGCAUCUCCAAUCUUUGAUUGGAAUUGCAAUUAGAUUGGUGUUUCUAACUAGAUGGGAGGUCUUUAAAUGUGGAUUUUAUUUGUCACUUGGUGUGAUGGUAAAAAGUUCAGGUACCCAACGCAAGAGCGCGGGUUCGAGUCCUGAGAGCGGUCACUUUGUGCAUAAGCCAAAGGUUAGGACCGAUUCUAGCCCACCCCUCCUGAGACCUUGGUUACGACCAUUUGAUCUCUUCACCCCACAUGUCUCCAAUAUCUAUGAUUUAAGAUUAAGUCUUCACAGUGAUUGCAAAUCUGUCACCGUAAAAUUCUAGACCCGAUGACCCUAGGUUUGCACUAUAAAUAGUGAGGGUGCAAAACAUCCAAAUUAUAGACUUGCCCUUAAGCUAUGUCACAAACGCACAACAAUACAACUCAAAGCCAUAGUUAGCAAAUCUCCAUUUAGAAUAUAUUUUUUUAAUAAAAAAGAUCUUUAAUUUUUUUCAUAUCUAUUAAGAUCUCUGAGUUUUUCAAAAGAUCUUCAAAAAAUCAAAGUUUUUAAUGGAACUGAUAUAAUUUCGUUUUUUUUUUCAAGAAAACUUUAACCCUAUAAAUUGAUUUCUUCAUUAACUUAAUAUUAUUAAAUUUUAUGUGUAAAGACAAGCACACGGGAGUAAAUUAAGAAUCUUGAUUUGACAAAAAAUUCUAUCAAAAACUUCACCAGUAUGUUCCCCUAGAAAAAGUAUAUGAAAAAUACAAGCAAUAUAUUCUUCGAACACUAAGAUAACAAAAUGAUAGUAUGUCUCACAAUAAUAGGAAGAAUUAGAAGAAGAGUAACUCAAUGAAAAAAAAAAAAUUUCCUUAAAACCUUGAAUGUCCUUAUAGAGAGCAAGAGAGAUAUUCAAUGAUACUGAAGGUUUAAGCAACUAGGAAUUCAAUGUGGGAUUUGAAUUUGUUUAAGCAUUUUGUUGCUUUUUUUAUGCAUAGAGCAGUUUGAUUAAUUUCAUGUUUUUAUUUUUAUUUUUUAUUUCAUUGGUGUAUAUAAUAUAACAUUUUGAAUGGACUACUAUUUUACGCAUUCGGAUGUUUGUGUUUUAUUUUAUAGAGCAAGCAUUGCUAUUGGAUUUAUUGAGAGUUUCGACAAAAACAUAUUCAACAUUAUUCUAAUGACACUAGGCAAAGCCAUAAAAUUACCCUUCAAUGGCUUUAACAUAUAUAUACAAUAAUUGCAAACCAUUAUCCUAUAAUCCUAUAUUAUGUCAUCUUUACGUAUCUGACUUUUUCACUCUGUUUUUUAGCCAAAUUUGAAAUAUUCACCAUUCUAUAACUUACUUUAUUUGUGGGCGAUCCGUAUUUUUUACCCGAUUUUUUCCUUCGACUUUUUAAAAAUAAAUCCGAUUUACUAUCGAUGUUUUGGUUUACCAAUAUAUUAUUAUUCCCGACUUGCUAAUCAUGCUCAAAACGUUGCACAAUUCAAUGCAAUUGCGCUUACGACUUUGAAAUACAACACAAUUGUGGUUACAAUGAACAAAACACUUCUUAUACACUAAAAAAUAAGAGGAUACAACUCAAUUAGGGUCCGUUGUCAAAUACAAAAUCAAAUUGCACAUGGAGGUAAAUGAACUAGACAAGUAUGAGGUGCUUAUGAAAUUCUACUUCAUUCAAUUUUAUAAUGCAAAAUGAAACAUCAAAUGAUUUUAAAGAACUCGAGAAAAUAUAACCGGCAACAUUGCAAUACACAUAUGCAAAGUGAAUUUUAUAAUGCAAAAUGAAACAUCAAAUGAUUUUAAAGAACUCAAGAAAAUAUAACCGGCAACAUUGCAAUACACAUAUGCAAAGUGAAGGAAGCAACAUGUCUAUGGGAAGCCAAUCAGACCACUUGGGGCCCAGUUCAGGGCCUUAAGUUUUAAUACGUGGUUUAAAAACCGGAUCAGUGCUCCGGAUCGAGCACUCCAAAAACCCAUCCGGAUCGGUGAAUCGACGAUCCAGAUCGAGAAUCGGCUGAAUCGGGCAGAGUAGGCUUUAAAAAAAAUCUAAAAAAAUUAUUAAAAUUCAUUAUAAAUUUUAUCUUAUAGGAAUCCAAUAAGAAAUGAGGGUACUACAUUAUUAACUUUCUUUUUUUUCAUCAAUUUGUGAAUAUUGAAAUGUUCUUUCCCUGUAUAAACUUAUGUUAACCAUUAAAUUUAUUUCACAUAAAAGAAAAAUCAUAGAAUUAUCAUGGAUAAAAUAUAUAAUUAUACAUGGACUACAAUAAAGAGUAGACUAAAUCGAUGAAAAAAUGGCCACUAAAAUCUCGAAUUGACGGAAAACCCUAAUCCGCUAAAAAAACCCAAAUUAUUACAACUUAACUAACUAUAAUCCAAAAUUAUUACAACCUAACUAACUAUAAUAUUAUAUACUGAAAUUAAAAUUGUUGGUUUACAUUUUAUAAUUAUUUUAUUAUAUAAAUAAUAACAAAUCCAAAAUAUUUUAUAAUAUUAUCUAAUUUAAAAUGUAUUAUUGACAACUAUUAAAAAAUAGUACAUUACAUGAUUUAUAAUGUAAAAAUUAAUAAAUAAAAUAAAAGAUUUGGUUAUCAAUGUAGAAAUUAUUAAAAUACAUACCAAUUUUCGAAAUAAAACUUUAAUUUUUGAAAAAUUUAAUUUUUUAGGUUUCUAGAAUAAAUUUAGUGAAAGAGAUUGUUAGUAGAGAGAGAUUUCAAAUAGAAUAAACUUUUUUAUUUUCAUUUUUUUACGCCUUUUAUUUUAUUUACAACAAAAAUAAUUUAUAGCGCUAUAUUUUAUUUACAAUGCCCAAGCAAGGGGAUUCAAUCUUGUGACAUCAAGGAAGAAAUUGAAAGUAAUAACCAUCAACACCACCUCACCGCAUGUAACAUUAUGCCUCCUAUUAAUAUACAUAUUCACUUUUUGUCUUCAUUUAAUGAUGUUUGUGGGAAUUAUCCCACAUCCAAGGAUAUGUAUCAAACUUCUCUCUAUAACUAACUAUUUAAUAGCUAUUAAGGUACAUGUGUGAAACCACUGAGGUAGCCCAACGUGUGGGAGGUGCUGGCGGGGUGACGUUGUGCCACGUGUAGAACCGGAAAUUGAUGAUGUUAGAACUGCUGAUUUAUGAUGUCAUCGGGGUGUCGAUUCCCGAGGAAAACCAAGGCGAGUUCGGUUCAACUACUUUUCAAACACUGGUUUUAACUAUAUGCUUUCAUUGUAUCAAAAGUGGGAAACUACACAUCUAUUGAUAUACACUUGAAACAAGGAAGGGUUCAUAGAGAUCUUAACUAUAUGCUGUAGAGUGACAUGCAAUAACAAUUCGGCCAAAUUCAUCACAUCAAAAGUGGGAAACCACACAUGACAUGCAAUAACAAUUCGGCCAAAUUCAUCAUAUCAAAAGUGGGAAACCACACAUCUACUGAUAUACACUUGAAACAAGGAAGGGUUUAUAGAGAUCAAAUGAUCAAAACUCAGGUGGAGCUCAUGGGAUAAAGGUUGUGACACAAAAAUCCCAAACUGAAAUCCAUAUUUAGUGGAUUUCAAGACCAGCCAAUUCAUGUAUGGAAUAACUUGAAAUCCAUACAUCGGAUCAUCACAAAGUCAGGUCCGAUGCGACCGUAUCAUGAAGGGCUACAAGGUGGUACAACUUUUGUACUCAAUCUAAGUUCGGAUAGCACAAAUUUCAAGGUUGAAGAUAGCAAGAUUUCCCAUUCACUAGAAUCCCUUUUCCUAACGACCUCCCUAAUUCAAAAAUAAUUAAGCAAGAACCAAAUCGGACAAAUGCAAAGCAAUUGUGACAGUCUCCUUUUUAAUUUGAAAUCAAAAUGAAGACUCGGAACACCAUGGAUCACAUUGUAUUGAUGACCAAAGUUCACAACCUAGCCGGAUUUUUACGCAUUGGGAAAAGUCUGUCUCAAGAUGAUUAAAAGACAUCAAACUCUUCAGAAUCAAGCAAGCAUCAAGACUACGAGGAUGGAUCGUCUGAACGACCUCCACAAGCACUCAAAAAAUCUCCCAAGAUCUGGCAAUGGUGAAAGGCCCCUCAGAGAAGGAUGCUUUCGUCAUUAGCACAAAAGGUUUAAAGGGUAUUUUGGUCAUUUUUCUAAAAUCGGGAUUUUAUUGUAAUUUCUUUUAAUCAUAAUUUGGCUUAGUUUUGGGCAUCCACCCCUGUUUGGUGGGUCCUCUAUAUAAAUAAGCAUAGGUUAAUUAUAAAAAGGCUAGAUCAUUUAUUAACGAAAUCGAGGCGUUAAAUUUGCGUCCACUUGUUUUUUGCUUCUAACCCAUGGAUCCAGCUGUGAGGAGAGAGAAAAUUUCAGAGAGAGAACUACCACUGACCCUUCCUGAUCACGUGGCCCCGUUCUCUCUCUCUUAGGCUAGGGCACGCCUCCAGCCCACUUUCUAUCCUCUUUCUUCUUCUCUCUCUACGCGUUGCUUGCUUCGUAUAGUAACCUAGUGCCUCAACAAAUGUGCGGUCCUGUCUCUUCCCCCUUCUUUCUCUCAUUCUUGUCGCAUUGUGGGUCGGAGCCGUAGAACCUGCAGACCCGUCUCUCUUUGCGAUCUUCCCCUUUGUGCUUCUAGCUUAAACGUAACAAAUUGUGGCUCUGUAUAGCAUCCCGUUAUCUGUCAUACGCUCAAAUCAAUACCCUUCAGAGUCAUCCCAAGAGUUCCAACCCUCGGAUCAUUGCUCUAAUUUCCUCUCCGUACAGUUGAGUUGAGCCACGAGAAAUAUAUACAUUAUCUUCCUCACUCACUCGGGUGGAGUCUUCCUGAGUCGACAGUCAAUAGGGUUCUAACUCUUUAGUUGCUCUGAUCGCCUGAGAGCAUAGCGUUUGCACCGAUAGGGGGUUCUUGUCACUAUUUCUCUCACCGUUCUUUCUUUUGCUAGCCAACCCUUGUUUGAGUAAAUCGUUAUAGAGGAAUAUCAUCGAAUUCACAUUGUAGUUUCCAGCAUAAGAGAACAAGGCGAUGCGUUAAAGCUUGAGGAGAGUCCGUGUCCAAACCGUGUUGGCAGACAACAGGAGGGCUUUGUAAUUGUUAUAAGAGGGCGAACUCCCCGAGCGUAUCUCUGAACCCCCAAACGACGAGGUAAGCGCCUAAACACACCACUGUCGUAAAAUCUUUCUCAUUGUUGGUUCCUAUCCGGACAAAGGAGAGCACAAGUAUCCAUACCAUUUUUUUGUUUAUUUCUUUCCUUUUGAGUUUUCAUUCUUACUUUUGUUCUUUUCCUUUUUAUUUUUAUUUUUAUUUUUUUUCUUCUCUUUUUCUCUUGUUUUACUGUUACUAUUUGAAAAAAAAAAAAGGAAAAAAAGAAAAAAAGAAAGAAAGAGAGUCAUGGGUAAGCCUGUAAUCACUCCUAGCUCGUAGGUUGGAUCUAAGAUGUGGUUUGGCCUUAUCCAUUGAGGUAAAGCUUAUCGUUAUCAACCUAAUCAGUUAGCCUCUCCAAGGCGAUUUUUAAUUCUCAGGUUUUAAAUCAACCUAAUUUGGCAUUUUUUUUUAUAGAAAAGAAAUACUCAUUUUGCUAUAAAAAAAAGAAAAAUGAGGAACACCCUUCAAGGCCAUCUCUUUUAUUUUUCACCAAAAAAAAAAAAAUAGAAAAAAAAAGAAAAGAAAAAUCGAAUAAAAAUAUCACACUUUCCUUAGGAAAAAGAAAAAAAAAAAAAAAAAAAAUCAUUUCUUCUCUUGUCGUUUACCACAUCCAUAAGAAUUAAGAAAAUAAAAACCUCUUUUUUCAAGCCACUUGUUUUUCAAAUAAAAAAAAAAAAAACUUUUAAAGCCUNNNNNNNNNNNNNNNNNNNNNNNNNNNNNNNNNNNNNNNNNNNNNNNNNNNNNNNNNNNNNNNNNNNNNNNNNNNNNNNNNNNNNNNNNNNNNNNNNNNNNNNNNNNNNNNNNNNNNNNNNNNNNNNNNNNNNNNNNNNNNNNNNNNNNNNNNNNNNNNNNNNNNNNNNNNNNNNNNNNNNNNNNNNNNNNNNNNNNNNNNNNNNNNNNNNNNNNNNNNNNNNNNNNNNNNNNNNNNNNNNNNNNNNNNNNNNNNNNNNNNNNNNNNNNNNNNNNNNNNNNNNNNNNNNNNNNNNNNNNNNNNNNNNNNNNNNNNNNNNNNNNNNNNNNNNNNNNNNNNNNNNNNNNNNNNNNNNNNNNNNNNNNNNNNNNNNNNNNNNNNNNNNNNNNNNNNNNNNNNNNNNNNNNNNNNNNNNNNNNNNNNNNNNNNNNNNNNNNNNNNNNNNNNNNNNNNNNNNNNNNNNNNNNNNNNNNNNNNNNNNNNNNNNNNNNNNNNNNNNNNNNNNNNNNNNNNNNNNNNNNNNNNNNNNNNNNNNNNNNNNNNNNNNNNNNNNNNNNNNNNNNNNNNNNNNNNNNNNNNNNNNNNNNNNNNNNNNNNNNNNNNNNNNNNNNNNNNNNNNNNNNNNNNNNNNNNNNNNNNNNNNNNNNNNNNNNNNNNNNNNNNNNNNNNNNNNNNNNNNNNNNNNNNNNNNNNNNNNNNNNNNNNNNNNNNNNNNNNNNNNNNNNNNNNNNNNNNNNNNNNNNNNNNNNNNNNNNNNNNNNNNNNAACUUUAAAGCUUAUUUGGUUUCAGGAAAAAAAAAAAAAAUCACUUUUGUUUAAGCACUUCAUUUCCCCAAAAAAAAAAAACGAAAACAAAGAAGUGGAGAUGGAUGACUUAUUGAUGUCGAUAUCCUCUUUUGAUCUCUUUCCUUUUCUCUCUCUCUUUUGUAUAUGUGAAGCAUCUUUGAUACUUUAAUGACAUAGAUGUACUCUUAGUUAAAAAAAAAAAAAAAAAAGAAAAAAAAAAGAGGUUUUCCCAUCAUAAAAUUAGGGCGAACUUGGAAAAAAAAAUAAAAAACAAAUAUUUUAUGUAAAAAUAGAUGACCAAAAUGCCCCUAUAACUUUUAGGGGUAUUCUGGUAAUUGUUCAUCACUGGAAAUAUUUUUUUAAUAUUUUUAUCAUGUGCACCCUUGUUAGAUCUAUGGAUGCCCCAAAUUUUUGCCUCAAAAUUAUUUGUAAAAUAAAAAUAAAAGAUAAAAUACUAUGAGUCGUCAGAUCAAGAUGUGAUGGUUAACUGUUGCAAAGCAUUGUUCAUACUAUUUGGAGCUGGCUUUCCAUCACAAAGGAGGGUUUUGGUGUGGCUGAAACUGAUAUUGAAAUGAACCUCUCCAAUCUGUUACUCCAUAAAUUUGUUGAAAAUCGAUCAAGAAGUGUGUGGUGUCCACCUAUAUAUGGUUUACUCAAGCCGAACUUUGAUGAAAGCUCACAUGGAAACCCUGGUGCAGCUGGGAAUGGGUGUUUUAUAAAAAAUUCUUAUAGGGAUGUGGUUUUAUGCUAAGGGGAAUCUUGUAGGAUUGCAACUGUAAAUACUGUGGAGUUAGGGGCUGUUCUUCAAAGUAUGUGUAUAUUGUUUCUCCGCUUUAAUGAAAUAGAUGUACUCUUGUGAAAAAAAAACUCUUAUGUAUAUGUGUAACAUCUUUGAUACUUUAAUGAAACAGACACAAUCUUAAUAAAAAAAAAAAAAAUUGGUCCUCCCAUCAAAAAAUUAGGGCGAAGUUGGAAAAAAUAAAAAACAAAUAUUUUAUGUAAAAAUAGAUGACCAAAAUGCCCCUAUAAUUUUCAGGGGUAUUCUGGUAGUUGUUCAUCACUGGAAAUAUUUUUAUCUUGUGCCCACUUGUUAUAUCUAUGCAUGUCCCAAAAUUUUGCUUCAAAAUUAUUUGUAAAAUAAAAAUAAAAACUAAAAUACUAUGAGUCGUCUGAUCAAGAUGUAACGGUUAAGUGUUGACUUGUGACAUUGUGACUCAAGCCAUCUCCGCCAUUUACUCCACAUAUACCAUACAUGUGGGUGAAUCACCUAGAAGGCCCUCCGUUAGUUAAAUGGGUGGGUAUUAUAUGAGUCACCCACCUUAAACAACUGAAGUAAGAUGCACCUUGCUGGUAGAUGCAGUUCCGUUGCCGGAAACUCUUUUGAUGGCCUGAAAUUUGUUUCCAUUUCUAAUUAUGAAAUUUUAAGGUUUGAAAAUAUUUCAGGUUGAGCAAUUCUAUAAAAAUUUAAAAUCUUGAAAAUGGGUAGUUCAUAUACUGGGUUAUAAGAUGCAUUAAUUUGAAGACUUGAAAUUUUUUACUUUUUAAUAUGCAAAUGUUGAGAUGAUCAAUAUGAGGGUUUUUUAGCAUUGGAACAACCUUUUAUAAUGUAUUUUUGAGGUGCUCCUCCCUUCUAUGGUUAGGUUGACGCCUUACAUAAGCUUUUUCCUAGUUAAAUACCAAAAUAUUUAAAUGCAAAUAUACAUAUCGCACCACUAGCAAUGAAAUAUGCUUAGACCAAAAGAAGAAACCAGUUAGUGAGCUUCUUAAGCUUUUUGGGGUCCCAAUUUCAAGGGCGCCACUUACAAACUGGGGUGUCUAUUGUUAGAUCAAAUCAUAAGGUAUGCGAUGGUAGUAUGAUAUUAGUAUUCAUGUUACAAUCUUGUAUUAUUGUGUAAUACAAGAAUACAAUAUUAUUUCUAUUAAUAUUAUUUCAAAUAUUCAUUACUGAAAUAGUAAUCAAUUAAUUUUUACUUAAGAAUAUAUGAACAAUAAACAAUGAUCUUAGGGUGGAAUUGAAGAAGUAUGUAUUUCAUAAUAAAUAGUCUAUAUACAUUAAUAUAUAUUUAUUUCACUUUUAGAAAUAUUUUAUUUUCAUUUUCAUAUUGUUUAGUAAUAUGCAUUUAAUACACUUAUUUCCUAAAUUUUUCAAAGUACACAUGAUAUAUACAUUUUCCUAAAGCAUGCGCCUCUUAAAAAUCUAAUUUUAAGAUAGAUUUUUUGCACUUAAUUUUUGAGGACAUGCAAUCUCUAACAUGGAGAAAUUUUUUUUUUUUCUUGAAAAUCAAAUAUUUGGUCUUUAUCUAAAUCUCUUUCUUGAAAAUCAAAUAUUUCGUCCAACAGCCCAACGGUCUCUCCCGCUCUUUCUUGAAAAUCAAAUAUUUGGUCUGAAAACCCAACGACCAUUUCUUUCUCUCUGUGGAAUCUCAGAUAGCGAGAGGAGUCUUCGGUGGGUCCUUUCAUCUGUUGCAAGUACAGGAGCAUUCAACCUCUUCCGACCAGGUAUUCUCUCUCUAUCUCUGUGUAUUUUCUCUCUCUAACAUCUUUGAUCUCUUUCUUUCAUUUUCUCCCUCUUUCCACAAAAUCUUGUUCAAGCAGUCUCGAUCGACUGGACAUACUGCGAUAUUCUCUUUCGCUCUCCUGAUUCAAACAUUGAUUUACUACUGCUAUGUCAACUGCGAAGAGUAAAUAAUGACGUUGCAUGUGUGUGUUAAUCCGUUGAGAAUUAGAGGUUCUAGUGUUUUGCAGGAAACCCUAAACUUUGAUAUUCGUUCGGGGAUGGGGAUAGGGAUGAUAUGAUAAACUCCCUAAAAUUUGUAGAAUUUAGGCUUCUCUUUACUCAAAGAUUUUAAAUUUGAUAUUCGGGGAUGGGGAUGAUUUGCUAGAAUCCCUAAAAUUUAAUUUCUUUCUGAUAUUUGCAGGAUUCAGGAUUCUGUAUAAUGGCAGCAGAUCAAAACCCAAUGCCAGAAGAUUUUGGUCGAAAGAUUGCAGACUUGCAACCUUUACUGGUUUAGAACAUCAGUGGUAGUCCUAGGAUUGCUUUGUACCCAGAGAGAAAACAACGAGGGUUUGAAGGCCACCAUCACAUGACCUAUAUUGAGUCUAAGAUGACACGGCCCGGUUUCUUCUUCAGCCAUUGAGAUGCCUGGCUGUGUUAACACUUUUUCAGGCAUUGGUAAUGAACCAUUAACUGAUAAGUGCCCUUAUGAUGUGGUGCAGAGUAUGCCCUUUACACAUAAGAGUAAUAAUUCUGAUGGCCAAUCUGAUAAUGUUUCUCACCCCCAGUUUGACUUUUAUCAGCGCCAACAACAAACCUCAGAGCCCUCAACUUCCCAAAAUUCUCAUUGUCUUGAAUCUACUGAUGAUUUUUCCACCAAAAAAAAGAAGUUCUAGUGUAGUUUUUGGGGCAAAUUCGUUCCUAGGCCAAGUGAUGGGGUGCCAAGAUAUGUAGGGGGUCAUACACAGAUCAUCAAUUUGUGGAGGGGUAUUUGAUUUCAAGAGCUUCAGAAGAUGGUAGACGUGUAUGGGCAACGUAUGGUCAAUACGUACAGCUCCCUAAUGAGGAUCUCGAUACUUUGAUUUCAGUUACGUGCAAUGAAGAUUUGGAAAUUAUGAUUGAAGAGUAUGACAUGCUUUUGAAAACCUCACCAGUGCGAUCGUGGAAGCUUCAUGUCUUCUUGUUUUCAGCCUCAGAGCCUGACUCCUAUGGUGUUGUUCAGUUUGCGAAUCAUCAGGAUUCAGGGCAGCAAUAUGUUGAGGGGGUGAAUGGGAUCCCUUAGAGCACCAAUCAGAGAAAGGAGAGAACAUCAAGGGGUACUUCAACUCUAAAUUCUGAUUGUCAGUUUAAUGGUGUUGCUUCUCAUAAAUUAGUUCCUAAUCAAGGUGAUGCGGGCAGCAAUCUACUACCUAGCAAGAUUCCAAGUAACGAUGCUAGAUUGGCUAAUGAUGCUCUGAGGUUGGCUAAUGAUGCUCCAAGUGUGGUUAAUGAUGCUCCAAGAUCGGCUAAUGAUGCUCCAAGGUUUGCUAAUGGUGAUCCUAAUGGUGAUCCAAGGUUUGCUAAUGAUGCUCCAAGGUUUGCUAAUGGUGAUCCGAGGUUGGCCUAUAUGUUUCCUAAUCAGUUGAUUUUUGGGGAAGAUGCUGCAUCUUCAAGUGCCGCUUCUGUUAAUACCAGUGGUCCUUCUGAACCUAUACCCAUGUGCACUAUGCUUCGACCUGGGCAAACCCACUCUGUGGAUCCAGCAGUUAGGACAGAAGAGUACCAUUUACAUGCUAAACUACACAAUCUCUCUGUUAUGCCAAACCUACCUGUUUAUGGGUUGUUGAAAAGUCCUUCUGAGAGGCCCAAUAUUGCUUCAACCCUGGUCGAUUGCAGGCCAGAAGGGCAGCAGAUGCCACAAAUCGAAGCACAUGCUUCUUUAGUAGAUGUUCGUCCACCUCUGACAUAUGUGCAUAGUUAUGUGGGUGCUCAUCCAAGUGCCUAUAACUUGAGCAGCUACAGUCCUUACAAUAAUUCAGACAUAAGAAUCUCUCCUGAAUCAAUCCAUGCUUCUCAGAGUUCUUCUCUCAGUGCACAACAAUCAAUAGUGCAUGUGGCUUCAGCAAUUGGUGUUGGUGGUGUCUCCUAUCCAUUUGCACUGGCAGGUUCUUCAGGAUAUCCUAUAGGUGUACCUCCUCCUUCACAGAAUUUGUGUGCUGGUCCUUCUUCGCCAAGAGUUAAUGGCAUAAUUGGAGGUCAACCGUUCAUACCGACACCUCAAAGAGCCAUUGAGCGUUACAUGGAAGAGAGCAGUGCAGGAGCAAGGAUUCAACUUCAUGGUGACCAGAGUUAUAAGGCAUUCCAAGUUCCCCAAAUUACCCUGCCUCCUCCUGUUCAGGUUAGUCAGCCCACCAUGGAGAGGCUCACUAGCCAGCCAUCAGCACCUGAAUGUGUAGUUUUCUCUGAAGUAUGGGUAGCUCAGCAAAUGGGAAAUUCGGGCGAUAAGGUGUCUAAGCUUGAGGACUGUUGCAUGUGCCAAAAGGCACUGUCUCAUGCUCAUUCUGAUACAUUGAUUUAAGAGCAUGUGAAUUCUGUUCCAGAGACAAAUUCCGCUCUUCAAAGUCAUCAUUCCGAUGGAAGUAUAAGAUUCAUGGCCUCACCGAAAGUUACUGGAGCAUUGGGGGAGGCUUCUGUGUCUCCCCAAGAUGAGCAUUGGUUAGGUAUGGAACGUGGGGCAGUGGCUAGGUUUCAGGGAAACAGAAGAAGUUAUGCGAAACUGAAUGGGCAGAAUGGACAUGAAACUGCUGCAUCUUCACUGAGACCUCCAUGAAUUCCUCAUGUUCCAGAGCAGCAUCUUAAUUGUGAUCAAGUUCCUCAGCAGCAAACAGAAAAACCUGAUCACACCAAGUUGUUGUUUACUCAGAACAUGCCAGUUAAAUCUACUGAGGAACUUCAAAAACCUAGACCUUUCGGCUUUACUUAUGUUGACAAAUCUACUGAGGAACUUCAAAAAACUGAACCUUUGGGCUUCACUCAUGUUGACAAUGCAGGGAACAAGUAUGGAGCAGAUGAUGUGAAACCCCUGUAUGAUCCAUUCUCAAGCAACCACUCAUUCUUCCAUCAAGAAAAUGCAUUUGUGAUGCCCCAUAGCCAGGUUAAGCAAGAGGUGGCAAGGGACAGGAUGGUCGGUAUUGACAUCCCUCUAGAUAUUAGCUUGCCUUCCUCUAGUGCAGAGCCUUGCGAUCUUUACUCUUCACAUGAUUUCGCAACAAAAUAUGUUUAUCUGAAUCCAUUGUCAUCUGACAAUUAUAGAACACUGGAUGGGAGGUUGAGUGCUUUAUCUAUGAGUUCACCGGGGUUGUCUUCAGGGAUUGAUCAGAGCAAACUACCAUUUUGGCUGAACUCGGAUCAUUGUGUGAGAGCAAUCAGCUAAGUGACAGGAUGCAAACAAGUGAUACCUCGGUAGCGGCUAACGUGAAUGCUGUCAAAGAAGAAAGGCUGAAUGUGCAGCCACAGGUUACUUUGGAUUCUAUUCGAGUGGCUGAUCCCUUUAGUGAGCCAGGGAUUGUUACGAGUGCGGGUUAUGUCAAUCCAGUUCAACCAUUGAUACAUAAUGCUCAGCCUGCAGAUCCUACUUCAAGAUCGGUUAAUGAUGCUCCAAGAUCGGCUAAUGAUGCUCCAAAUUUCACUAAUGGUGAUCCUAAGUUGGCUAAUGGCUUUUCGAGGUUGGCCUAUAUGUGUCCUAAUCAGUUGAUUUUUGGGGAAGAUGUUGCAUCUUUAUGUGCUGCUACUGUCAACACCAGUGGUCCUUCUAAACCUAUACCCAUGUCUACUAUGCUUCUGCCUGCGCAAACCCAUUCUGUGAAUCCAUCAGUUAGGCCACAACGGGGCAAUUUAGACGCUAAACUUAAGUCUCUCCGUUAUACCAAAUCUACCUGUUUAUGGGUUGCCAAGAACUCCAUCUGAGAGGCCCAAUAUUGCUUCAACCCUGGUCAAUUGCAGGUCAGAAGGGCGGCAGAUGCCACAAAUCAAAGCACCUGCCCCUUUAGUAGAUGUUCAUCCACCUCCCACAUGUGUGCGUAGUUAUGUGGGUGCUCAUCCAAAUGCCUUUAACUUGAGCAGCAACAGUUGCUACACUAAGUCAGACAAAAGAACAUCUCCUGAAUCGAUGCAUGCUUCUUAGAGUUCUUGUCUCAGUGCACAACAGCCAGUGGUCACGCAGCUUCUUCAGGAUAUCCUAUGGGUGUACCUCCUUCGCAGAAUCUGCAUGCUGGUCCUUCGCCAAGAGUUAAUGGCAAAAUUGGAGGUCAGCAGUUGACAUCAACGCCCCAAGUACCCCCUGAGCGUUACGUGGACGAGAGUAAUGCGGGAGCAAGAGUUGAAUUUCAUGGCGACCCGAGUUAGAUGGCAUUCCAAAUUCCCCAAAUUACGCAGCCUCCUCCAGUUCAGGUUGAAGGUCAGCCCACCAUGGAGAGGCUCUCUUGCCCGCCAUCGAUACCUGAAUCUGUAGUUUUCUCUAAAGGACGGGUAGCUCAGCAAAUCGGGAAUUCAGGGGAUAAGGUGUCUAAGCUUGGAGACAAGCAUGUUGCAAAAGGUGCUCACAGAAUGUGACAUGCCUUCUCUCUCAUCAUGGGCUGUUUACAAGCCUUCUACAAGAUGUUAAGUGCUUAGACAUGGGAUAAUUUAUUUCAAAAGGGAAAGAUGUUAUAAUUGAUUGAAUUCAAUGAAAGUUUUUCUAUUUUCAUUUAAUAAAAUAUUUAAUAAUAAUAAAGUUAUGGAAAUUGAGAGAUAAGUGAUCUAGUUAAUUUAUUUUAGCUUCCAAUAUAUUUUUUCUUAUUUAUUUUGAAGCGUUAGGUUCUUGCAUGCUAAUGACUGGUAAAUGUAUUGAAGAAAUCGAAAAUUUUGAACCAAUGGAUUUUUAAUCAUACGCAUGCUGCAAUUUUCAGGAAUUCUUAUCCUACUCGAUAUGCUUGGAUGGUCCCUGAUGUAUGUUUUCAUUGCAAUGUAUGUUCUUAUCCUCAAAAGAGUAAAUCAAUCACCUUUUUACAAAGUGCAAAAACUUGCGUGGACUGGCACUCCUGCCGGAGUCAGGUUACUAGGGUGAGUCCAUGCCCACUCGGACUCGGGUACUGGAGUCAAGUUACUAGGGCGAGUCCAUGCCCACUCGGACUCGUGUGAGUCUUGUCUAUUUACUAUACAAGUGCAUUUAGUCCAAGACAUAGUUGAACUCACCUUGGUCAACAUGUUGGGGCCAAGCCCGAAUUGACCUGGUUGAGUUUUAGUUCGAGUUGCCAAGUCGUUAUUUAGAAUGCUGUUUUUUCUUUUUAGAGGAUCAAAACAUAUACUUUUUUGUUCAAUGGAAAGGGCAUGACAUGGUUGUUGGUGGUAUAAGAUUAAUGGGCUAGAAAUACAAUCUUUUAAAAAAUUUCCAUUAUAUAAAAACUCAAAAGUUUAAAUGCAUGAAUAUCUCAAUACAAAACCAUAAUACAUAUAUUCCAGCCUACAAAAUCCCUUACUUAAAAAUUUAAUUAAACUGAAUACAAUAUUCAACUAUUCACAUUGUACAUCUUUACAAUAUAUUGCAUGCUCAUUAUAUCAAAAUUGUAUGAUAAUUUCAUCUUCAUUCUUCAUCCUCAUCAUAUAUCAUAAUAUCUCAUACAUAUCAUACACUUGAUCAUAAUAAUUCAAUAAGAUUUCAAUUCGCAUAAACAAUAAUGCAUAGCAUUGAAGCUCAUACUGCAAGAUUAAAAAACAUUCUCACACAACAUACUUAAUUUAACCAAUCAUGAAUCCAUUUAAUAACUGUAAAUACAUCAAAUUAACAUGCAAAACAUACAUAGGGAAACCAUGGUUCGAAUCCUUUGUGCCUGGGCCACGAAAGGGCCUUUUGAGGACUUAAUUUUGUCCCAUUGUCUAAGGCACGAAUGAUAAUAGUAACUCAAGGAGAUCAUUCCAAUGGGAAGCAAAUGAUCAUAUUUAUUUCACUUAAUGGGGAUCAAAUCAUGAUAGAGACAUGUAUCAAAAAAGCCCUUCAGAGUUUGAGAGAGAUACCACACAAAAUAAGGAAGUUAAGGUGAAACUACACCAUGUGGUCUAUAAGGGACCACACGAACUUUUCAACAUUAAAAAGGGAACUCAAUGGACUAUUUCUUAUGUCCAAAUAUGAUGAAAUAAACCUCUCAUAAGUUGUAUAUUCUCAGUAAAAAUUUCAGAAAAAUAAGAUCAAGAAAUCAAGUUGAAACUACUCAAGAUCAUGGAGUAAGCAAGCUAGUCUACACAUAUUAUGUAUAUGGACUACACUAUUGCUUUGUAACUCCUCAAAUAUCAAGUUUUCAUGGCCAAUAAUGAAGAAAGCUACUGUAAAUUAAGAAUUACAACAAGCUUUGAUAAUGGAAAUGAGGUAGAAAUUAAAAAUAUGAGAAGAAAAAUCAUUACUUUAAUGGAGUGAUAGUAUGGGCUUGAUCACAUAAAUGAUGGACUACUCCAUAGAAGAAGGGUUUCAAAUGAAAACUCAAGAAAGAAAAUAGUCUUAUAGGUGACCAUAUUUUUGUCAAGGGUCCUCUCUCUCUUUGAAGUGAAUACUUAAGUUGGGGUUAUAAUUGAUUCCAUAAGCUACUUUUAUACUUAGAUCAUAAAGAUGGAUUUGAUCUCGAUCCUUAAUGCCUUAGAUCAAUGGCACUUGAGAGGCUUUUAUCCAAGCCACUCAUCCGUAUCUUAUCAUCGAGAUCAAUGGAUGAGCUUUUGACACCUUUCACUCCUUAAAACCUAGGUUUAUAGUUAUUUUACCUUGAAGCCAUUAGCUCCAUGUUUUAUUUUCCAUUAAGUCCAAAUUCAUGUUUACACUUAUGCCCAUGGUUUUUAAAUAAUUUGUGAGAGUCAAUAAAAUACAAGGAUAUAGACAUAAAGGUAAUAUGGGACACCUACACAUGUGAAUAAAAUAUUUUAUGACACCACCAAUAGUUUUUUAACAAAUACUAAAGUUUCAUAUAGGUCAAGCCCAUAAGGUGGUGCCACAUAAGACAUACUAACAUACUACAAAAUCAUAUGUGGACAAUAAUAUGAAUUAAAUUAAUUCUCAAAAUUUCAUGACUUCACACAUGUCAAAAAUGGCACAUAUGAGUAAAAAAAAAACAUGUAACUUAAAUCAAACUUAAGUCAUAACAAUAUAUAACACUUUAAAUAACAAGAUAACAUGUAAUAACAUACUACCAACAAAAGAAUUAAUGACAAAUAGGUCGCCACAUAGAUAUGACAUCAACAUGAUGUCAUCUACAAGUGGGGAGGUGGGGGUGCCAUGUGGCAUCCUUAUGGCCACUUGGGAUCCAUGUGGCAUCCCCAUAGAAUGUCAUUGUUUAGUAUUUACGUUAAAAAAAUUCGAAAAUCAUAUUUUUUAUUGUUUAAAAACUAUGAAAAAUUCUCCAAGAAUCUCAAAAAUUCUCUAAAUGAUUUCUCAGCAUUAUUACACAAUUUUUCAUCAAUAUAAACCUUUUCUUGUCAAUUUUAGAUUAAUUUCGGCCAAAGGUAAAUGAGAUCUUUAGACUUAUAACGCUAGUCGGCGUCUUCCAUUGGGCUAACCUGAAUGACGUUCCACUGGUGUCUCAAGUCGACACAAUGGACCUAUGCUCCAUAGUCUAUGGCAUGGACACAUAUUUGGUCACAUCAAAGUCGUUGAGCUAGAGCUUCCCGUCACCGGGGUACAAUGGAUUACUGGUGCAUCCCUGUAGGAUAUGUUCCUACUCAAAUACAGGGGUCAUCUCAAAGCACAUGUGCACUAGCUCUUCUAAGUCAAAUAAUACUAUAGAAGAGUGGCUUCCCCAUACGACUGUGGGUGCACUUACCAUGAAACUGUCUCGUGUCAGGAUACGGGCUCAUGUCCCAUGAGUGGACCAUUCCAUACAGGGCGAAUACUUUUUUAAAUACUCGGGUUCUAUUAUUCUCAAUUGGAUUCUCUAAACCCUGGAUUAUCACAUCAACUAUGAGGCAUUCUAAUCAAUAUAGUCAUGACUGGGAGGUGACCCUCACACCUCCUUGAGAGUUCUCACUCUCAAAACGUAUACUCUCAAUGCCUCAAAUAUUCGAGGUAUAUGAAUCUGGGCCCCAGUGUAUCAAGCACCCAGAUUCAGUCUCUCUCUAACUCCCACUGAGUGUAAGACUAUUGGCUUUAAGGCCUUGAAAGGCCACAUAGCCAACAAUGGUGACCCAUCUUUAGCUUUCAUCCCUCAUCGAAGUGUAAUCAAAAUGUUUGGUUAUUUGAUUCCUUUGCCGCUCCUUGAUUUCAUUGCUUUGACUGAGUAGAUUGGCAAUUUUCAGGCAUCUCCAAUCUUUGAUUGGAAUUGCAAUUAGAUUGGUGUUUGUAACUAGAUGGAAGGUCUUGAAAUGUGGGUUUUAUUUGUAAUAUCUAGGGUAAGAGUGGUCACUUGGUAUGACAGUAAAAAGCUCAGGUAGCCAGCGCAAGAGUGCGAGUUCGAGUCCUGAAAGUGGUCACUUUGUGCAUAAGCCAAAGGUUAGGACUGUUUCCAGCCCACCCCUGUUGAGACCCUGCUUAGGCGGGACCAACACCAGGUUACGACCCUUUUAUCUCUUCACCCUACAUGUCUCCAAUAUCAACGAUUUAAGAUUAAGUCUUCAUAAUGAUUGUAAAACUGAGAUCGUAAAAUUCUAGAUCCCAUAACCCUAGGUUUGCACUAUAAAUACUGAGGAUGUAUAACAACCAAAUUACAUAGACCUGCACUUAAACUAUGUUACAAAUACAUGACAAUACAACGCAAAACCAUAGUUAGCAAGCCUCUAUUUAGUACAAUUUUUUUUUAAAAAGACCUUUCGUUUUUUUUUUUUUUUUUAAAAUUCUAUUAAGAUCCUUGAGGUUUUCAAAAGAUCUUCAAAAAAUCAAAGUUUUUAAUGGAACUAAUAUAAAUCCGUACUUUAUUUUUUUCAAGAAAACUUUAUCCUUAUAAAUUGAUUUCUUCAUUAAAUUAAUAUUAUUAAAUUUGAUGUGUAAUGAUAAGCACACUAGAGUAAAUUAAGAAUCUUGAUUUAAUAAAAAAUUCUAUAAAAAAUAUCACCAAUACGUUCCCUUAAAAAAAAAAAGUGCAUGAAAAAUACAAGCAAUAUAUUCCUCGAAAACUAAGAUAACAAAAUGAUGGUAUGUCUCACAAUAAUAAGAAGAAUUAGAAGAAGAGUAACUCAAUGAAAAAUUUUUUUUCCCUUAAAACCUGGAAUAUCCUUAUAAAGAGCAAGAGAGAUAUUCAAUGAUACUGAAGGUUUAAGCAACUAAGAAUUCAGUGUGAGAUUUGAAUUUGUUUAAAUAUUUUGUUGUUUUCUUUAUGCAUAGAGAAAUUUGAUUUUGAUUAAUUUCAUGUUUUUAUUUUUAAUUUUUAUUUCAAUGGUGUAUAUAACAUAGCAUUUUGAAUGGAGUAAUAUUUUACCUAUUUGGAUGUUUGUGUUUUAUUUUACACAGCAAGCAUUGCUAUUGGAUUUAUUGAGAGUUUCGACAAAAAAAUAUCCAGCAUUAUUCUAAUGACACUAGGAAAGGCCAUAAAAUUAUAGUUCAAUAGCUUUAACGUGUGUAUACAAUAAUUGCAAACCAUAAUCCUAUAUUAUGUCAUUUUUACAUAUCCGACUUUUUCACUCUGGUUUUUUUGCCAAAUUUGAAAUAUUCACCAUUCUAUGGCUUACCUUAUUUGUGGGCGAUUCGUAUUUUUUAUCCAAUUUUUUCUUUUGACUUUUUAAAAUAAAUCUGAUUUAUUACCGAUAUUUUGGUUGCCAAUAUAUUAUUAUUCCCGACUUACUAACCAUGCUCCCAACGUUGCACAAUUCAAUACAAUUGAGCUUACUACUUUGAAAUACAACAAAAUUGUGAUUACAAUGAACAAAACACUUCUUUUACACUAAAAAAAUAAGACGAUACAACUCAAUUAAGGUCCCUUGUCAAACACAAAUUCAAAAUGCACAUGGAGAUCAACGAACUAGACAAGUAUGAGGUGCUUAUGAAAUUCUGCUCCAUGCAAUUUUAUAAUGCAAAAUGAAACAUCAAAUGAUUUUAAAGAACUCAAGAAAAUAUGAUCAGCAACAUUACAAUACACAUAUGCAAACGUGUCUAUGGGAAGCCAAUCAGACCACUUGGGGCCCGGUUCAUGGCCUUAAGUUUUAACUAUAUGCUGUAGAGUGACAUGCAAUGACAUAUUUCAAAAUUCAGCCAAAUUCAUCGCAUCAAUAGUGGGAAACCACACUUCUAUUGAUAUACGCUUGAAACAAGGAAAGGUUUGUAGAGAUCAAAUGAUCGAAACUCAAGUGGAGCUCGUGGGAUAAAAGAUGUGACAGAAUUACAAAACUGGUUUCAAGAGUUCACAAAGCGAGCCAUAAAAUUUCGGCAAAAUCUGCUCUCAUGAAAUCAACAAUUUGUUCCACCAAAUAUAUAUUCAAUUGGCUGGUCUUGAUGUGAAAAUCUCAUAAAAAUAUCAAUCAAUUAAUCUCCUAAAACGUUAUAGAAAAGCAUGUGGAAAUUAGAUCAAUUAAUGCAUGGAUGAUCCCUUCAAUUAUAUGGAUCAUAGUAGAUCAAGAAUUCAAGGUUCAAGAAUCAAAUAGAAGAGGGAACCAUGCUGUAAUUAGGAUUUUACAAGAAGAAGAAAAAACCAAAAUUAAUGAGAAAAGAUAAGAUCUUACUCAAUUGAUGAAGAUCUUGAAAACUAUAUUGUCCAUGUCUUUGGUUGCUUGUGAACUCAUCGUAAAUGGAGCCAUCAAUGGAGCUUUCUCUCACUUAAAAUUGAAAACUCAAUUUAAUCUAAUAGAAGAGUGAGAAAGUGAGAGGACAUAGCCUUUGGCAUACACUCCAGGGGAUGAGAGAGAGAGAGAGAGAGAGUGAACUCAAG